Molecule: long non-coding RNA, 524 nt
Filed under: Carica papaya (papaya)
Lineage: Eukaryota; Viridiplantae; Streptophyta; Magnoliopsida; Brassicales; Caricaceae
Description: long non-coding RNA (CPAP_LNC016133)
Source: RNAcentral
AAAAAAAAGAAAAAAAGUGUGGAAUGAAGAAUGAAUUAUUUGAAGUAUGUAUCUGUAUUGACAUGUAUAAUGCAUCAAGUGUCUCAUCAGGUUUUUUAUCUCUGAGGAGUAUCUGUUUCUCUAACCCUAUUCGGGGUAUCUGUUUUUUCCUCCGUCAUCUGGUCUGGAAAGACAUAAGAGGACUGCUCCCUAUGGAUGAUGGCGUACCCUUCGACGAGAGUGGUGACACAAAUCUCUGUUAGGGGUCACCUUUGGCUAAGUACUGUCAUGACUAUAGAAUAUCUGAUAGGAUCACUAUGGUCGGUACGGCUGUAGUCAUAGAUCGUACCAUGGUUUGACAAGCUGGAAAUGUGCCUGAGCAAAUUGUUGUUAUCUAUAUAUGAUCUGGUCAUUCCACAUGGGUAGUUGAAAAUCUGUAUCUGCCUUCAGAAAUGAAAAUUGUAACAAAUUCAAAAAGCAUGACACAAAAAUCUGACCAUUUCAUGAUUUAUUUGAUUUUCUCUAUUAUUUAGUAUGAUGUGUGU